CCUACGGGGGGCAGCAGUGAGGAAUAUUGGUCAAUGGACGCAAGUCUGAACCAGCCAUGCCGCGUGCAGGAAGACGGCUCUAUGAGUUGUAAACUGCUUUUGUACGAGAGUAAACGCAGAUACGCGUAUCUGUCUGAAAGUAUCGUACGAAUAAGGAUCGGCUAACUCCGUGCCAGCAGCCGCGGUAAUACGGAGGAUUCAAGCGUUAUCCGGAUUUAUUGGGUUUAAAGGGUGCGUAGGUGGUUGGUUAAGUUAGAGGUGAAAUCCCGCGGCUCAACUUCGGAAUUGCAUCUGAUACUGGUCGGCUAGAGAGUAGUUGCGGUAGGCGGAAUGCAUGGUGUAGCGGUGAAAUGCUUAGAGAUCAUACAGAACACCGAUUGCGAAGGCAGCUUACUAAGCUACUUCUGACGUUGAGGCACGAAAGUGUGGGGAUCAAACAGGAUUAGAUACCCGAGUAGUC
This 460-nucleotide ribosomal RNA is filed under the name uncultured bacterium. Its description in RNAcentral is "partial 16S ribosomal RNA". It matches the Rfam family "Bacterial small subunit ribosomal RNA", at positions 338 to 795 of the family's 1533-position model. The record is from RNAcentral.